GUGCGUGCGUGCGCGCGUGCGCGCGUGCGUGCGUGCGUGCGUGCGCGUGUGUGUUUUGGCUGCUGGUCAGUGUUUGUCACAGUUAAUGAGGUCACCUGAGAGCACCUGGUUAAUGGCCUCUCAUUAGGAGCAGCAGCUCGUUAGUCCGUCUCUCAGGACAAACUGCAGCACAAACAGUUACAUCAUCAUCUGAUGUUUAUACCUCUUUGACCUCUGACCUUCCCUCUCCUGGGCUCACAGGUACACAUGGCAAGUGGAUCCAUUCAAUACAAAAACAAACAGCAUUUUUUCACCUAAUACUUUAUUGUUUCGUGAUCAUGUUUGACAGUAAUAAAUGAUAAAAAUCGAUUUUGUGUCUGAUCUUGUAUCUGAGGAACAUCUCUGUAGAUACAGAUCUCUAUCUGUCUUCAUAGAGACGUCUGACAUGUUGUCCACUUGUCCACAGCUCCCCUGUCCCUCAGAGUCCUUUCUGCACUCGCCAGUCAGACCGUUUACUGUUCUGUUAUUAUUAGAAAAGGAAAAGUGCAAGUAUUUAAAUUAUUAUUAAAACUCUUUGGUGAUAUCUGAAGUUUUGCACAUGAGAUUUCAAUUUCAUAAUCUUUGAAAUGUUUCUUCACCUUAAGUGCAGCCCUAAAGACUCCCAGAAGCACUCUGAGCUCCAUCAGACAGGACCAUGGUGAGAUGGUGGCACUUUAUGGUCAUUCUGGAAAGUGUGAAGCCUCAUCUUAAAUACUCUAGGAACAACAAACUGAAACUUAACGAGGCCGUAAAGCUUAAAGAAGUGGAUUCACCAACAAGCAAACAGCUGGAAUGUGCAACAAAAGUCACGACUUUGACGCAGAGGCACGAAGAUCAGCCGGAGACGGCACCGCGUGCUCACGCGCGUUUAUCUGCUGGCUGCUGUCAGGACUGUGCUGCACAAUCAAGCCUCGGCAGGUCGGAAAGAUAUUUCCAUCUUUAAGGCGUCUCUGAUGUAGACUCUUUCAUUAUGUUACUAAUCAGAAUACUUUAUGAGUGUAGAGAUCUUUAACUGUUGCAGAUGGAAACAACAAAUUUGUAGAAAUAUUUAUAUAAUCUCAUUUUGGCUGAGCUUACAAUGCGUGGAGAUGCAUCUGGUCCAAAAUCCUGCAUUCAGGCAAAAAUAUGAACAUUUACAGGAUAAAAUGUUUUAUUGUGACAUAGUGAGAUAAGUACGAUUAUAUCUGCAGCUCAUGAAAAAAGGCUCAAAUCUUAAAUUGUAAAAAAUCAGAUUACUGUUGAACUUAUGGUUCGAUCUUCUCUCAUCUGUAGGACUAAAUGUUGCUUUCAUUGGUCGACACCGAGGUAAAAUCCUCUCAGCUCGCCGAAGCUCGCAGCAGGUUUUGUCCCUCGGUAUGACAGACGUCAGCAGAUAAAAAAAAUCACUCCGGCUGCUGUUCAGAGUGACGAGGCUCUGAGGCUCGCAGCGUAAGGCCGAGUCGAUUUGAGCCCCCUGAUGUCUUUUGUUGA
Molecule: long non-coding RNA, 1488 nt
Organism: Astatotilapia calliptera (eastern happy)
Lineage: Eukaryota; Metazoa; Chordata; Actinopteri; Cichliformes; Cichlidae
Source: Ensembl